GGAGUUAGCCGGUGCUUCUUCUGUGAGUGAUGUCCUUCCUGCCGGUUAUUGACCCGCAGGCCUUCUUCCUCACUGAAAGUGCUUUACAACCCGAAGGCCUUCUUCACACACGCGGCAUGGCUGGAUCAGGGUUGCCCCCAUUGUCCAAUAUUCCCCACUGCUGCCUCCCGUAGGAGUCUGGGCCGUGUCUCAGUCCCAGUGUGGCUGAUCAUCCUCUCAGACCAGCUACGGAUCGUCGCCUUGGUGAGCCGUUACCUCACCAACCAGCUAAUCCGACAUAGGCUCAUCCGAUAGCGCGAGGCCCGAAGGUCCCCCGCUUUCCCCCGUAGGGCGUAUGCGGUAUUAGCCUGGGUUUCCCCAGGUUAUCCCCCACUACCGGGCAGAUUCCUAUGCAUUACUCACCCGUCCGCCGCUCGCCACCAGGGAGCAAGCUCCCCGUGCCUGCCGCUCGACUUGCAUGUGUUAGGCCUGCCGCCACGCGUCAUCUGAGACACUGAUACAACUACUCGA
This 510-nucleotide ribosomal RNA is filed under the name uncultured bacterium. RNAcentral's name for it is "partial 16S ribosomal RNA". The record is from RNAcentral.